GACAGAGGGGGCAAGCGUUGCUCGGAAUCACUGGGCGUAAAGGGCGCGUAGGCGGGAUGGCAAGUCAGUCGUGAAAUCUCUCGGCUCAACCGAGAAACGUCGGCUGAUACUGCCGUUCUUGAGGGAUGCAGAGGAGACUGGAAUUCCCGGUGUAGCGGUGAAAUGCGUAGAUAUAGGAAGGAACACCAGUGGCGAAGGCGACCACCUGGACUGAUACUGACACUGAGGUGCGAAAGCGUGGGGAGCAAACAGG
Molecule: ribosomal RNA, 253 nt
Filed under: uncultured bacterium
Lineage: Bacteria
Description: partial 16S ribosomal RNA
Rfam family: Bacterial small subunit ribosomal RNA
Source: RNAcentral